This 406-nucleotide ribosomal RNA is filed under the name uncultured bacterium. RNAcentral's name for it is "partial 16S ribosomal RNA". It matches the Rfam family "Bacterial small subunit ribosomal RNA", at positions 30 to 526 of the family's 1533-position model. The record is from RNAcentral.
AUUGAACGCUGGCGGCAGGCCUAACACAUGCAAGUCGAGCGAGCGGCGGAGGUGUGUGUAAUGUAUGGGGAUCUGCGCGAUAGAGGGGUAUAACUACUGGAAACGGUGGAUAAUCCCGCAUACUCAGGGAUGAACACAUAUGGGAUUAGCUAGUAGGUGGGGAAAAGGCUCACCUAGGCGACGAUCUCUCGCUGGUCUGAGAGGAUGACCAGCCACACUGGAACUGAGACACGGCCCAGACUCCUACGGGAGGCAGCAGUGGGGAAUAUUGCACAAUGGGCGCAAGCCUGAUGCAGCCAUGCCGCGUGUAUGAAGAAGGCCUUAGGGUUGUAAAGUACUUUCAGCGGGGAGGCGUUACCCGCAGAAGAAGCACCGGCUAACUCCGUGCCAGCAGCCGCGGUAAUAC